Long non-coding RNA from Carcharodon carcharias (great white shark), 381 nucleotides. RefSeq lists it as uncharacterized. Lineage: Eukaryota; Metazoa; Chordata; Chondrichthyes; Lamniformes; Lamnidae. The transcript is spliced from 3 exons. The record is from RefSeq and is a predicted model, not a curated record.
CCAACAUCAGGUUUCUGGACGGUAGGAGCACAUCGCACAAAUACAUACAAUGGACCCAGGGGAAACCUCUAAUCUACAGCACAGAGCAGAAGUUAUUCUGUGCAAGGAAUCACCACGGAUAUUGAAAAGCAACUAUCCUACUGGUAAUAUACCCAGAAGCACAGUCAAUCAAGAUCUUGAAGCGUCCACAACUAAACCUGUCUCCUCACCAGAAUUAGAGGCAUUGAUACAGAUGAAGAAAAGGAACGAAAAUACUGAACUUCAUAACAACGGGGGUGACUGGAAGGCACGGGCAAGACAGCAGGAAACCUCUUCGUCCAAAAAUGCCUCCUGGGAAGGUUUUCGACAUCCAGGAAGAACCUGGCUAAACCUCUGCUUCAU